RNAcentral lists this ribosomal RNA (468 nucleotides) under uncultured bacterium. RNAcentral's name for it is "partial 16S ribosomal RNA". It matches the Rfam family "Bacterial small subunit ribosomal RNA", at positions 28 to 507 of the family's 1533-position model. The record is from RNAcentral.
GAUGAACGCUGGCGGCGUGCUUAACACAUGCAAGUCGAACGGUGAAGGCGGAGCUUGCUCUGCUGGAUCAGUGGCGAACGGGUGAGUAACACGUGAGCAAUCUGCCCCUGACUCUGGGAUAAGCGCUGGAAACGGCGUCUAAUACUGGAUACGAGCUGCGAAGGCAUCUUCAGCAGCUGGAAAGAAUUUCGGUCAGGGAUGAGCUCGCGGCCUAUCAGCUUGUUGGUGAGGUAAUGGCUCACCAAGGCGUCGACGGGUAGCCGGCCUGAGAGGGUGACCGGCCACACUGGGACUGAGACACGGCCCAGACUCCUACGGGAGGCAGCAGUGGGGAAUAUUGCACAAUGGACGAAAGCCUGAUGCAGCAACGCCGCGUGAGGGACGACGGCCUUCGGGUUGUAAACCUCUUUUAGCAGGGAAGAAGCGAAAGUGACGGUACCUGCAGAAAAAGCGCCGGCUAACUACGUG